AUUAAAGGUGUGCCACCAGGACUCCAAUGUCUGCUGCAGACAAACCAGCUUUCCAUACAGGAGAAAUUCUCAGUGUCACAAGGCUGGGGGAGGCUCUUUGACGUUCUCGAUGUGAUGGGCCAGCGACUGUAUCAGGCCACUCAGUCUGUGCAGUUCUGCGGGCCCCUCUAUGAU
This is a long non-coding RNA of Nanorana parkeri, 174 nucleotides long. RefSeq lists it as uncharacterized. Lineage: Eukaryota; Metazoa; Chordata; Amphibia; Anura; Dicroglossidae. The record is from RefSeq and is a predicted model, not a curated record. The transcript is spliced from 3 exons.